Molecule: ribosomal RNA, 265 nt
Filed under: uncultured archaeon
Lineage: Archaea
Description: partial 16S ribosomal RNA
Rfam family: Archaeal small subunit ribosomal RNA
Source: RNAcentral
ACACGACUACAUUAGAUACCCCUGUAGUCCUAGCCGUAAACGAUACUCGCUAGGUGUCGGCCACGGUGCGACCGUUGUCGGUGCCGUGGGGAAGCCGUGAAGCGAGCCACCUGGGAAGUACGGCCGCAAGGCUGAAACUUAAAGGAAUUGGCGGGGGAGCACAACAACGGGUGGAGCUUGCGGUUUAAUUGGAUUCAACGCCGGAAAUCUUACCGGGACCGACAGCAACAUGAAGGCCAAGCUGAAGACUUUGCCGGAUUAGCUG